This 327-nucleotide unclassified non-coding RNA is filed under the name uncultured bacterium. RNAcentral's name for it is "partial contains 16S ribosomal RNA and 16S-23S ribosomal RNA intergenic spacer region". The record is from RNAcentral.
CAGCUUCGGGACUCCGAAAGAAGGCAGCAGUGGGACUCCUACGGGAGGCAGCAGUGGGACUUCUCCCGGAGGCAGCAGUGGGACUCCUACGGGAGGCAGCAGUGGGACUCCUACGGGAGGCAGCAGUGGGACAGUUGGCUCAGAACGAACGCUGGCGGCCCACUCCUACGGGAGGCAGCAGUGGGACUCCUACGGGAGGCAGCAGUGGGACUCCUACGGGAGGCAGCAGUGGGACUCCUACGGGAGGCAGCAGUGGGACUCCUACGGGAGGCAGCAGUGGGGCAGUUGGCUCAGAACGAACGCUGGCGGCUGGCUCAGAACGAACGC